ACGCUCGACACCUACGGAGGCAGCAGUCGGGAAUAUUGCGCAAUGGAGGGAAACUCUGACGCAGUGACGCCGCGUGCAGGAAGAAGGUUUUCGGAUUGUAAACUGCUUUAGACAGGGAAGAAAGAAAUGACAGUACCUGUAGAAUAAGCUCCGGCUAACUACGNGCCAGCAGCCGCGGUAAUCUGAGCGGGCUGGCAAGGC
RNAcentral lists this ribosomal RNA (201 nucleotides) under uncultured bacterium. RNAcentral's name for it is "partial 16S ribosomal RNA". It matches the Rfam family "Bacterial small subunit ribosomal RNA", at positions 328 to 539 of the family's 1533-position model. The record is from RNAcentral.